UACAGCGUGUCUCAUCUUUUAUGUACUACUAGCACUAAAUAUCUCACUCAAAUGACCUUAGAUUGAAAUGAAGAUUUUAGAGGUGAUGUGGAGUAUUAAAAUACAUCAUUUGGGAUAAUUUUCAAUUUUUUUUAAUCCUGUCAAUGCAUGUAAUUGCAAUUGAAAUGAACAGCCUUAUUUUUGUCACCUGAUGGCAGAUAUGAAUAGAUCAUUUUUAUCCAUUG
Molecule: non-coding RNA, 224 nt
Organism: Cinara cedri
Lineage: Eukaryota; Metazoa; Arthropoda; Insecta; Hemiptera; Aphididae
Source: the annotation of a GenBank genome assembly